UGGGGGAUAUUGCACAAUGGGCGAAAGCCUGAUGCAGCGACGCCGCGUGGGGGAUGAAGGCCUUCGGGUUGUAAACUUCUUUUGCUCUGAAUAAGGCGCACCAUGGGGUGUGUUGAGUGUAGGGGUUGAUUAGCGCCGGCUAACUACGUGCCAGCAGCCGCGGUAAUACGUAGGGCGCGAGCGUUGUCCGGAAUUAUUGGGCGUAAAGGGCUUGUAGGUGGCUGGUUGCGUCUGUCGUGAAAGCUCAUGGCUUAACUGUGGGUUUGCGGUGGGUACGGGCUGGCUUGAGUGCAGUUGGGGAGGCUGGAAUUCCUGGUGUAGCGGUGGAAUGCGCAGAUAUCAGGAGGAAUACCGGUGGCGAAGGCGGGUCUCUGGGCUGUUACUGACACUGAGGAGCGAAAGCAUGGGGAGCGAACAGG
Molecule: ribosomal RNA, 419 nt
Filed under: bacterium
Lineage: Bacteria
Description: partial 16S ribosomal RNA
Rfam family: Bacterial small subunit ribosomal RNA
Source: RNAcentral